UCCCUGGUGGCUCAGAGGUUAAAGCAUCUGCCUGCAAUGCGGGAGACCUGGGUUCGAUCCCUGGGUAGGGAA
Molecule: transfer RNA, 72 nt
Filed under: Capra hircus (goat)
Lineage: Eukaryota; Metazoa; Chordata; Mammalia; Artiodactyla; Bovidae
Also listed under: 4 other names
Rfam family: tRNA
About the family: Transfer RNA (tRNA) molecules are approximately 80 nucleotides in length.
Source: Rfam by way of RNAcentral